RNAcentral lists this transfer RNA (76 nucleotides) under Burkholderiales bacterium. Its description in RNAcentral is "tRNA-Thr". It matches the Rfam family "tRNA". From Rfam's summary of the family: Transfer RNA (tRNA) molecules are approximately 80 nucleotides in length. Their secondary structure includes four short double-helical elements and three loops (D, anti-codon, and T loops). RNAcentral also lists the same sequence under 2 other names. Lineage: Bacteria; Pseudomonadati; Pseudomonadota; Betaproteobacteria; Burkholderiales. The record is from RNAcentral.
GCCGGCUUAGCUCAGUUGGUAGAGCACCGCUCUUGUAAAGCGGGGGUCGUCAGUUCGAGUCUGACAGCCGGCACCA